ACCCCAGACUCCUACGGGAGGCAGCAGUGGGGGAUAUUGCACAAUGGGGGGAACCCUGAUGCAGCGACGCCGCGUGGGUGAAGAAGCGCCUCGGCGCGUAAAGCCCUGUCAGCAGGGAAGAAAAUGACGGUACCUGAAGAAGAAGCCCCGGCUAACUACGUGCCGGCAGCCGCGGUAAUACGUAGGGGGCAAGCGUUAUCCGGAUUUACUGGGUGUAAAGGGGGCGCAGACGGCGAUGCAAGCCAGGAGUGAAAGCCCGGGGCCCAACCCCGGGACUGCUCUUGGAACUGCGUGGCUGGAGUGCAGGAGGGGCAGGCGGAAUUCCUGGUGUAGCGGUGAAAUGCGUAGAUAUCAGGAGGAACACCGGUGGCGAAGGCGGCCUGCUGGACUGCAACUGACGUUGAGGCCCGAAAGCGUGGGGGGCGAGCAGGAUUAGAUACCCUAGUACA
RNAcentral lists this ribosomal RNA (449 nucleotides) under uncultured bacterium. Its description in RNAcentral is "bacterial SSU rRNA". It matches the Rfam family "Bacterial small subunit ribosomal RNA", at positions 328 to 794 of the family's 1533-position model. The record is from RNAcentral.